RNAcentral lists this unclassified non-coding RNA (25 nucleotides) under Mus musculus (house mouse). Its description in RNAcentral is "oocyte_clustered_small_RNA6256". Lineage: Eukaryota; Metazoa; Chordata; Mammalia; Rodentia; Muridae. The record is from RNAcentral.
UGAAGUUCAGCCACUUGUUUUUGUA